Molecule: ribosomal RNA, 531 nt
Filed under: uncultured bacterium
Lineage: Bacteria
Description: bacterial SSU rRNA
Rfam family: Bacterial small subunit ribosomal RNA
Source: RNAcentral
AAUAGAUACCCGGGUAGUCCAUGCCGUAAACGUUGGGAACUAGGUGUGGGUCUCAUUCCACGAGAUCCGUGCCGCAGCUAACGCAUUAAGUUCCCCGCCUGGGGAGUACGGCCGCAAGGCUAAAACUCAAAGGAAUUGACGGGGGCCCGCACAAGCGGCGGAGCAUGCGGAUUAAUUCGAUGCAACGCGAAGAACCUUACCAAGGCUUGACAUAUGCGAGAACGCGGCAGAGAUGUCGUUCUCUUUGGACACUCGCAUACAGGUGGUGCAUGGUUGUCGUCAGCUCGUGUCGUGAGAUGUUGGGUUAAGUCCCGCAACGAGCGCAACCCUCGUUCUAUGUUGCCAGCACGUGAUGGUGGGGACUCAUAGGAGACUGCCGGGGUCAACUCGGAGGAAGGUGGGGAUGACGUCAAAUCAUCAUGCCCCUUAUGUCUUGGGCUUCACGCAUGCUACAAUGGCCGGUACAAAGGGCUGCGAAACCGCGAGGUGGAGCGAAUCCCAAAAAACCGGUCUCAGUUCGGAUUGGGGUCG